RNAcentral lists this ribosomal RNA (305 nucleotides) under uncultured bacterium. Its description in RNAcentral is "partial 16S ribosomal RNA". It matches the Rfam family "Bacterial small subunit ribosomal RNA", at positions 508 to 809 of the family's 1533-position model. The record is from RNAcentral.
ACAGCAGUCGCCGCGGGAAUACGUAGGGUGCAAGCGUUAAUCGGAAUUACUGGGCGUAAAGCGUGCGCAGGCGGUUAUAUAAGACAGAUGUGAAAUCCCCGGGCUCAACCUGGGAACUGCAUUUGUGACUGUAUAGCUAGAGUACGGCAGAGGGGGAUGGAAUUCCGCGUGUAGCAGUGAAAUGCGUAGAUAUGCGGAGGAACACCGAUGGCGAAGGCAAUCCCCUGGGCCUGUACUGACGCUCAUGCACGAAAGCGUGGGGAGCAAACAGGAUUAGAUACCCCUGUAGUCCCUGUCUCUUAUAA